UUCUCUGCAAGGACGAGAGAAAGUACAUGGAUGGAACUGAUAAAGCGAGCCCGGAUGGUGGAAGCGGGUACGGGAAUUUCAUGGAAGUGCCUCUCUGAGCUGACAGUCUGAAGGAAGUAGGGCUGUCCGGGAAGCCCGUUACAGCCUGCAGUCUACGACUGGCCAAGAUUUCUUCGGCGACGAAGGAAUGAAUCUGGGUGGAACACGGAAUUCUCCGUCCCAUGG
RNAcentral lists this non-coding RNA (225 nucleotides) under Dialister succinatiphilus. RNAcentral's name for it is "T-box sequence". It matches the Rfam family "T-box leader". From Rfam's summary of the family: Uncharged tRNA acts as the effector for transcription antitermination of genes in the T-box leader family. The record is from RNAcentral. Lineage: Bacteria; Bacillati; Bacillota; Negativicutes; Veillonellales; Veillonellaceae.